This 620-nucleotide long non-coding RNA is filed under the name Ananas comosus (pineapple). Its description in RNAcentral is "long non-coding RNA (ACOM_LNC035119)". The record is from RNAcentral. Lineage: Eukaryota; Viridiplantae; Streptophyta; Magnoliopsida; Poales; Bromeliaceae.
CAUAAGGAUAAUUAAAGUCUAAAUUUAAUUUUAAUUAUAGUAUUAAAUCAUUAAUUUAUCUAAUUAAUAUAUUUAAAUCAUUAUCUAUUACUUAAAUAAUAAAAUAAUUAAUUAAUUUAUUAUUUAUAAUUAAUUAGCUAAUUAAUUAUUAAUAAUUUAAUGUGUUUAUUCAUAAACUAAUAUUUAUAUUGAUCAACCAUUAAUAUUUUUAUCAUCUAAUUAAUUUUUUACUAGUUCCAUAAUUAAAAUAAUUUAUUAACUAAUUAAAAAGAUAAAUUAUUUUUUAUAAUUAAUUAAUUAAUUAAUAUAUUUUUAUUAUCUUAUACAAUAUUCAUAGCUAAUAAAUUUAUUGAUUUAUUAAAUAAUUUUUAAUUAAUAUUUUGAUGUUAAUUAAUUAGAUAAAAUAUUUUUAAUUUAAAAUUAUAUCUCAUAUUCCACUUAUUCUAAUCUAACCAUCCAAACAUUAGUUAUUUUAUUACUAGAAACAAUCUAAUUUUUAUCAAAAUGCAAAAUUAAUUUAAUUCCUACUUAUAUUAUAUCUGAGCUUAUAUUUGUUACUGAAAUAAAUAAUUUUUACUUAUAUUUGAACCAAACACAACUAACAUCAAACUAAGAAUUUC